RNAcentral lists this long non-coding RNA (492 nucleotides) under Trifolium pratense (red clover). Its description in RNAcentral is "long non-coding RNA (TPRA_LNC005917)". Lineage: Eukaryota; Viridiplantae; Streptophyta; Magnoliopsida; Fabales; Fabaceae. The record is from RNAcentral.
AUACUAAUUCCAAUUACAUCACCAAAAUAGACACCUAUGUAUCAGUAAUUGAUGAUCCAAAACAGACACCAAAACCAGCCCAAUACCUGCAGAAACCAGUCCCUAAAACAAGCAUAAACCAGUCUAANNNNNNCAUUCUCAAAUCCCCAAAAAUGCUGGCAAAUUUCCCCAUUUUCUUUACAGGUGCGGAAUUCAAAUGCUCCCAAACCAAUUACAAUUGGUCUCACAUUAAGCUCAUUACUUCUUCAACGACACUUAAAAUUGAAAUCAUCAUUUUAGAGCAUGACAUCUAUCUGCAUAUGCAUCUAAAUGUAACAAAAUUAUAGAAACCAAUACUAAAUUAUCUCUUCAGAAACAUACCUUCUAUCCACAAAAUUAAAACCCUAGAACCAUGAUUGAAAUUUCUUACCAAAUUUCAACAAUUAACACAUACCAUAGAUAGAACCAUUUCAAAGUGAAAUCAAAUAUUGUACUCUUUGAUCACUCAUUCAC